This 206-nucleotide unclassified non-coding RNA is filed under the name soil metagenome. Its description in RNAcentral is "partial contains 5.8S ribosomal RNA, internal transcribed spacer 2, and large subunit ribosomal RNA". The record is from RNAcentral.
AACUGAUACUACCUGCGGGAACCUGCGGAAGGAUCAUUACAGAGUUUUCUAAACUCCCAAACCUUUGUGAACUUACCACUGUUGCCUCGGCGGAAGCUAUUGGGGUUACCCUGUAGCGACCGCCGGUGGACCAACCCAACUCUUGUAAUUUUGAGAAAUCUGAGAGUCUUAUACAAAUAAGUCAAAACUUUCAGCAAUGGAUCUCU